GAAAAGCAAAAAGGAACGGCAAACCGGAAGAUCCAUAUCUAACAAGCCAUGGCUUUGCGUUGCAAGUUUUGCUUCAGGAAGAAGAGCGGCAUCGGCAGUAGCAGAAACGAGCAGAAGCAUUAGCGUCAUACCGUCGUUCGUUUUCAGAGAGAAUCCUUACAGUUUAUGGAGUUCCCCCGGCGGACGUUGUGGCUUUGGCGGAUCUACUGGAGAUUUGCCAAGGACUUCUGCUGUAGACGGAUCUACUGGAGAUUUGCCAGGGACUUCUGCUGCAGAACACCCAACAUUUAGCUAAUUUAUGAAAUACUUGCUGUCCAAAGCGGAAGCCACAUGACGUGCUAUCUUUGACCUUUGAUGGGGGCUCAUUGUCAACAACAAAUGAAUAAUUGUUGUCCUGCUACAGUCCAAAGCGGAAGCCACACGAAUUGUUGUUAUCUUUGACCUUUGAAGGAGGCUCAUCGCCAACAACAAAUGAACAAUUGGUUGUCUUGCUACAGUCCAAAGCGGAAGAAGCCACAUGAAUUGCUAUCUUUGACCUUUGAUGGAGGCUCAUUGUCAACAACAAAUGAACAUUUGUUGUCCUGCUAUCUUUGACCUUUGAUGGAGGCCUAACUUGCGAGAUGCUACACCGUUCAUGUCUUCUCCGGCGUAAGGGAUGUACACAGAAACGAUGGCCAAGAAGGUAUCAACUGUGAAUCAAAAAAUUCUGUUCAGGAUAAGAUUGGAAAUUUAAAGUUUUCUUCUUCUCAAUCAAUUAGGAUCAUCGUUUUGGUUUUAGCU
Molecule: long non-coding RNA, 780 nt
Organism: Musa acuminata subsp. malaccensis (wild Malaysian banana)
Lineage: Eukaryota; Viridiplantae; Streptophyta; Magnoliopsida; Zingiberales; Musaceae
Source: RefSeq, a predicted model, not a curated record